Alosa alosa (allis shad) is the source of this 354-nucleotide long non-coding RNA. RefSeq lists it as uncharacterized. The transcript is spliced from 5 exons. The record is from RefSeq and is a predicted model, not a curated record. NCBI's taxonomy places the organism in Eukaryota, Metazoa, Chordata, Actinopteri, Clupeiformes, Clupeidae.
AGACAGUUGAGAAAGUGAAGGUCCGCCAUUUUUUCCUCGCUUGCUCACGGAACAUUUUUGGAUCCUGUAAUUGCAAGGCCUUUAUGUGACAGUGCAAAGAGCGCAAGACCGGAGUGUCAUCAAGGUCUCAUUUAUUAAAGUAUUACAGAAUGUCAGAACUCGACAUCAUCUGCUCCAGGAGGUCUGCUGUGUGUGCGUUGGAAGGGAGGAGAUCAUGGCUGCCAUUGACCAGAAUCAUACCAUUGGCUUGUUGAGAGCUUGCAACCUGAAAGCACUUGUGUACUUAAAUGAAGGUUUUGAGAAACUCAUAAAGAAAUACUUGGACCAAGGAUGCAGAGGACAAGAAGGGUGUGC